UGGAGAGUUUGAUCCUGGCUCAGAACGAACGCUGGCGGCAUGCCUAACACAUGCAAGUCGAACGAAGCCUUCGGGCUUAGUGGCGCACGGGUGCGUAACGCGUGGGAAUCUGCCUCUUGCUUCGGAAUAACAGUUAGAAAUGACUGCUAAUACCGGAUGAUGUCCCCCUGAGAGAUCUUGGGGACCAAAGAUUUAUCGGCAAGAGAUGAGCCCGCGUAGGAUUAGGUAGUUGGUGGGGUAAAGGCCUACCAAGCCGACGAUCCUUAGCUGGUCUGAGAGGAUGAUCAGCCACACUGGGACUGAGACACGGCCCAGACUCCUACGGGAGGCAGCAGUGGGGAAUAUUGGACAAUGGACGCAAGUCUGAUCCAGCAAUGCCGCGUGAGUGAUGAAGGCCUUAGGGUUGUAAAGCUCUUUUACCAGGGAUGAUAAUGACAGUACCUGGAGAAUAAGCUCCGGCUAACUCCGUGCCAGCAGCCGCGGUA
Molecule: ribosomal RNA, 485 nt
Filed under: Sphingomonas sp. 24B
Lineage: Bacteria; Pseudomonadati; Pseudomonadota; Alphaproteobacteria; Sphingomonadales; Sphingomonadaceae
Description: bacterial SSU rRNA
Rfam family: Bacterial small subunit ribosomal RNA
Source: RNAcentral